UACGUAGGGCGCAAGCGUUGUCCGGAAUUGUUGGGCGUAAAGAGCUCGUAGGCGGCUUGUCACGUCGGGUGUGAAAGCCCGGGGCUUAACCCCGGGUCUGCAUUCGAUACGGGCUAGCUAGAGUGUGGUAGGGGAGAUCGGAAUUCCUGGUGUAGCGGUGAAAUGCGCGGAUAUCAGGAGGAACACCGGUGGCGAAGGCGGAUCUCUGGGCCAUUACUGACGCUGAGGAGCGAAAGCGUGGGGAGCGAACAGG
Molecule: ribosomal RNA, 253 nt
Filed under: uncultured bacterium
Lineage: Bacteria
Description: partial 16S ribosomal RNA
Rfam family: Bacterial small subunit ribosomal RNA
Source: RNAcentral